AUUUUCUUAGUAUAAUUAGUACUAGUGACUUCCAAUCACUAAGCCCUGGGUAAUAACCGGGAGAAAAUA
This 69-nucleotide transfer RNA is filed under the name Phyllomedusa tomopterna (tiger-striped leaf frog). RNAcentral describes it as "tRNA-Gly". Lineage: Eukaryota; Metazoa; Chordata; Amphibia; Anura; Hylidae. The record is from RNAcentral.